CAAUAGCGUAUAUUAAAGUUGUUGCGGUUAAAAAGCUCGUAGUUGGAUUUCUGCUGAGAACGACCGGUCCGCCCUUUGGGUGUGUAUCUGGCUCUUUCUUGGCAUCUUCUUGGUGAACGUUGCUGCACUUGACUGUGUGGAGCGCUACCCAGGACUUUUACUUUGAGGAAAUUAGAGUGUUUCAAGCAGGCAUACGCCUUGAAUACAUUAGCAUGGAAUAAUAAGAUAGGACCUCGGUUCUAUUUUGUUGGUUUCUAGAGCUGAGGUAAUGAUUAAUAGGGAUAGUUGGGGGCAUUCGUAUUUAACUGUCAGAGGUGAAAUUCUUGGAUUUAUGAAAGACUAACUACUGCGAAAGCAUUUGCCAAGGAUGUUUUCAUUAA
This 380-nucleotide ribosomal RNA is filed under the name uncultured eukaryote. Its description in RNAcentral is "partial 18S ribosomal RNA". It matches the Rfam family "Eukaryotic small subunit ribosomal RNA", at positions 592 to 976 of the family's 1831-position model. The record is from RNAcentral.